UACAGAGGGGGCAAGCGUUGUCCGGAAUCACUGGGCGUAAAGGGCGCGUAGGUGGUUUGAUAAGGGUGUGGUGAAAGCCCGGGGCUCAACCCCGGGUCUGCCGUGCUGACUGUCAAACUCGAGGGCUGUAGAGGCAGACGGAAUUCCGGGUGUAGCGGUGGAAUGCGUAGAGAUCCGGAGGAAGACCGGUGGCGAAGGCGGUCUGCUGGGCAGUUUCUGACACUGAUGCGCGACAGCGUGGGGAGCAAACAGG
RNAcentral lists this ribosomal RNA (253 nucleotides) under uncultured bacterium. Its description in RNAcentral is "partial 16S ribosomal RNA". It matches the Rfam family "Bacterial small subunit ribosomal RNA", at positions 524 to 776 of the family's 1533-position model. The record is from RNAcentral.